RNAcentral lists this transfer RNA (75 nucleotides) under Planctomycetota bacterium. RNAcentral describes it as "Planctomycetes bacterium (soil metagenome) tRNA-Asp". It matches the Rfam family "tRNA". From Rfam's summary of the family: Transfer RNA (tRNA) molecules are approximately 80 nucleotides in length. The record is from RNAcentral. Lineage: Bacteria; Pseudomonadati; Planctomycetota.
GGUUCCAUCGUCUAACGGCCAAGACGGCUGCCUGUCGAGCAGCGGAUCGGGGUUCGAUUCCCCGUGGAACCGCCA